GCAGUUGGAGUUGGGUCACGGCGUCGUCUUCGGGAAGUUUACGGAGCUUAAGUCGAAUUGCUGGUACUGGCAAAUUCUUCCAAUCGGAAUGUGUGGAUAGAGAUUGCAAAUUCUAAUACAGAAAAGAAAAAUCGGGUUACUCCAACUAACCAAGCUCACGGGGACAGGACUGAUGGGAGCAGUCAAGUUUUGUGCACUUACUGAGAAGAAAUUAUAGAAUAGAGCAUUGUAAGUAACCCUUACGGCUAAGGGAGUUUAUGAUUCUCAGAGCGGCUUUUUACGAGUUAUAGGUAUGCACAGUUCGCUGAAUGCUGGUCGCCAUGUUCCACAUUGGGCGGAAUUCCGAGAAGAAGUUUUUGUGGGAGUUUUGCAUCUUCUGGCGUCAUUUUGGAAGCAGCAACUUUCUAGGGCAUUAUGAGUGACUGAUUAGGAGUGUGUCGAAGAGUAAUAUUCUUGCAGCGCGUUUGAUCACAAUUGUUGUUUCACAAAAUCUAGGUACACUGAAAGAAGCAACUAUUUGCACUUGAGAGAAAUUCGGGAGAUUGUUGUUGCAGCGUUCAGUCAGCACUGUUAUUUAUCAGUUAUUGACUAUUAAACAUGUGGAGAGAGACUGGGUACUUGAGAAUGCCUGAGCGAGACGAUUUAAUACGCGCAUGGAAUCAUUUAUUGAAUGUGAUAGAGGGAGCGUUGAAAUGCUACCCAGCUUGAGUCAUGGAUCAUAGCUCCCAACCUAACAGGGAGCUUCAGAAAUGAUAAUCUGCUGCACAUUAGCUCGAAACACUUGCUCUUACGUCAUAAGGUAGGCGACACAGUACUAUUGGACUUAAAGCAAGUGAUCGAUUGAUCUAAUGUGAUCAUGUUUUGUGAUUCAAUCUAAAUUGAAGUGAAUGCAGGAAUAAUCACAUGUUGACGUGUGUGGUCUUUGAUCACUGACAUUUAGCGUGCGGAAUUAUCCCGCUGCUUUAAAUGGUGGAGGACUAUCUGUUACUUUUGGCAAUGUUGCAACAGUUGCUUCUUGCUCCACUACCCUAUUGUGGUUGUCUCGUUCCACUGUUUCAUAAGCUCUCAUUUGAGUGGAAAAGCUCUUCACUUCCACUUAAAAGCAGCUGCAAGUGAGUAUGUCUUCCAAGAGUUCCAAUGAAGAGGAUUGGAAGGUCCAGGCGGCCCUACAGACUCACGUAUAGUUGGUCAAGUCGAGAUAUCAGGGGUUAGCGCCAGGGGCGGGAUCACAUGUGGGGAACAAGUUUUUUGGAGACUUGUCGAGAAAAUUAAGUUUUUGCAGGGGAUUAGGGUUUAAGUUCUUAGGUUCGAUGGCCACUGGUUACAGUACCUCACCGAUCAAGCAUAACUGGAGUUAUCUAAUACUGCAGUGAGUUUAUUUGUUUGAAAAUCUUAUCAUAUCUGGCAAUUGUUUCCAAUUUGUAUGCUCCAAGGCAUUAAAUGAUUGCCCUUCCCAGCGGUUUUCUGUUUGAAAGGUUGGAACUGUGGAAUUGAAGUUUGAGGUUUACUGUUGUGGAAAGUAGUCAGGAAGAAACCUAAGGGCAAGGAUGGAUAUGCUAGGAUGUUAAACAUGGCUCAAGCAUUUUGAAGCAUAUGCAGGCUUACUCAAAUGACUUGUCUGAUUUAGGGUUUAGGGUAAAUGGCAUCUUCAUCAGCAAUGUUAUUGGUCUUGGCAACUAUCUUGUUUGGAUUGAUCUUGAGAUUUUCGUAAAUGCCCGAGUCUUGAGAUCGUAUCGUUUAUCUUGAUGACUGUUAGGGAAGUCCUUGUUUUAGUUCGAGAUCUGGGAUUGCGCAGGGUUUUUGUUUUUGUUAUUUUUAUGGAUAUGAAUACGUUGAUGCUUUCAUUUCGUUGUGUGCUCUACUUAAGGAUUUGUUGAAAUUCUUGCAGGUGGUAGUGAAAAAUGUACCGGAGCUGAACUACUGAUGCUGGUGCAAGGAAUAAAAAUUCAAGGCGAGGCGUGCGUGGGAGUUCGACUAGCAGGUCGGUUUGCUGCAGUGAAUCGUGACCUUUUGAUCACUAGUACCUUGGUUUGUGUUCGAAUAGAUUGGUAAUUGUUUCUUUUCCUCGUUUAGCUUGGGAAUUAAGCUAGCAAAGUUGGCCUAUUUAGCAAGUUUCAGAACUAGGGAGCUGGACAUUUUGUUGCAGAAUUCUGACUUGCAACGAACGAUUUUCAAUGACAAGCAUUUAGUGUUGAAGGGAAUCGUUCAUGGUUAUCAGUAAGACGUUUGAUAUAUGGAAAGAUUCUUUAUGGUUGGAUCUAUUUUCCAAUACAAUUUUUACUACCAUUAGUUCCUUCAGUGUUGCCCUCCGAUCUGGUUCCUUGUCUUUUAGUUUCUAUGGUGCUGGGGAUCUUGUUCACUGCCAAGAGGGGCAUCAGAUGUAGACAAGGCUACUGACUAAGAUGUAACUGACAGCAGUACUUGCUCGUCACUGCUCGACUAUUGCGGGUUUCCAGUGUGUUUCCAUGUUCGUGAACGAGUACAUUUGUAAUGUCCCUCAGCUAUCUUCAGGAAUCAUCUCCCUUCUAACAAAUUUGAGCUUCGCCAGCCAUCCUUUUUUUAGUUUGUACAG
Molecule: long non-coding RNA, 2572 nt
Filed under: Physcomitrium patens
Lineage: Eukaryota; Viridiplantae; Streptophyta; Bryopsida; Funariales; Funariaceae
Description: long non-coding RNA (PPAT_LNC011343)
Source: RNAcentral